CCUCAGGGAACAGCGUAUGCACGUGAGUUAAGGGAAAUUUCAGAUAUGCGCAGAGUAGGCCCUCUCCAGUGUUUACUUCUCUCCUUAACACUCUUAAGACUUUACCGUUGAAUAUCUUAUCAAAACACGAAGUCUCUGGUAGUUUGACACAUAAACCGGGAAGACUGCGAGGAAGUUGAAGAUUCUACCGUUUUAUUUUUUUCCUUUUCGUCGACUAAGUGGUUGAAAUUCUAAUUUUUCGUACUGUUUUGUCGUUCGUUGCGCGUGGUGAAAUAUAUUGACUGAUGUAAUGUACUCAGAGCAGUUCGAAAGUACAGCAAGCUCACAAUUCACGAGGCAAAGGUGUAACAUGUACAGACAUGUCGGACAUGGAAAGAUGAGUAGUUAGAGGCUGAAAGACAUUUGUAAGAUUUUGUAGACACAACUUGCAUUCUCUUGGUAGAUCAUAAAUUGGUAGCUCCUCCCCAUAGUUCCACACCUUUAGUGCCCCUAGCUGCAUGAAUCUUGGAACUUGUCCAUCAGGUGUACUGGUAACUUCCUAAAUUACUCUGGGUUGAAUGACCUCUGUCCCUCCAGUGCAGAUGUUCCCUUGGCAGAAGCCUUCCAGUGAAGUUUAAGUUUGCGACUAUCUGCUUUUAGUGACUUAAUCAUUUCUGAUCUGACUGGAAUUUCAAGAAGCUUUAAAACCAAAUGCCAGAAAGGACUUUGGUAUCUCUGAUCAGCUCCCAUUCCAAACAACUUAGGAAAAGUUAACAACUCUGCUCCAUGAUCUUUGAUUACUUUAAUUGCUUCUUGUAACAUUGGCCUCUGCACUUGUUUGUGAAAAAGGUUAAUAGCUGCUGGGUCCUUCAGUGACAUCUUCACCUGUUGUGAUGUUAAAGGAAAAUAUUCUGUAGGAGACAUCAGCGUUUUGCUUAAAGUUUCAUGGUGCUUUAGAACUGUUGCUGGCCAUAACCUUGCUAGGUAACCACUGGAGAAUCCAAGUUCUGCAUCACUAGCCUGGGAUGUAUUUAGAGAUGGGAUGAUAAACUUAUCGAGGAAUUCAAACAAAAACUUGAUUUCAACUUGAAUCAUAGGACUGGAGCUCAGCUUAAUGACAUCUUGCCAAAUAGUCUGGUGGCUAUCUGAUUUUGACAAUCUUUCAAGGAGACUCUCAGCGAGCUGUAAACAAGCUUUUCCAUACUUAAGAUACCACUGGAGAGUUUCAUGACAAUAUGUCCACCUUGUGUCAAUGAAUGUCUGGGGAAGGGGUGGCUCUUUACUUAGAAUACCAAGAGAGACAUACAUAACUUUGUAUUGGCUUGGACACUCUGAUGGAGCCAAGAUAUUUUAUAGAGUAAUUGUAAAACAUGGGGGUUGCUCAUGUCACCCUUGGCCCCACACUCAGCCUGGCACAUUCUUCUCAGCAUAAUGUUUAGUACAUGUAGGAAUCAUCCUUUAAAAAAAUCUCUUUUUCAAAAAUUCUGGCAUUGUUAGCUAAAAGACCGUUUACUUUUCCCUUUUGGGUAGAGGCAUUGUUCCCAACCAACCUUGAAACAUUGGUAAUAUCAUAUUCAUUUUUUAUAACAUGGUAAUCUACAUCAGACUGGUGUUUUUCAGACCCACUUGCAGUUAGGCUGUUUCCAAGGACAUAACCUCGUGGCUUGCUCUCUAUGGGACACCAGGUGUGAACACCCACUACGUGCCUCUCCUCUCCUCCUUUGAAGGAGUUAUCGCUCCAGAGAUGAAAAUCGUACUCGGAAUAUGAAUAACUAACGAGAAAUAUUUUUGUAUAUUCAAAAUAAAUAAAUUUAAAACCCACGAUAUAUUAUAAACACCGAUUGUUUUCAAGAAAAUAGCGAAAAGCGCAGUGAAGCAUCGUUAUUAUUCAACUCUAAUUUAAAUUAAUGGAAUUUUGUAUCGUCUCAGUAAAGCAUGCAAGUAGGUGAACAUAGCAAUCAAAUUUCUGGAAGAGUUUUAGCCUCCAGUGAUUUAUCGAUAGCUUUCCACUCUAGCAUUGUAGCAAACAGACGAGCCAUGUUAUAGUUGGCUAUGUCAUAGGAUGUCACGCGUGAAUUUGAUAUUGUUAUUGUGGCGUUACGUAAUGUGUCAUGUUAGGUCGAGUGUGUGACAUCAUGACGUCAACAAAAUCACAUAAUAUGCGAGAAAAAACCUCCGAAAUAUGGUAUCCUUGGCAAUGUACUUUUACAGUGGAUCGAUAUUGUAUGAUUGUAGGUGUUUAGAGUCGGUCUGAUUGUUUACUGGUUCUAGCACAAUAAAGGACAAUUUGCUAUUUAAAACGGA
This 2283-nucleotide long non-coding RNA is filed under the name Pocillopora damicornis (cauliflower coral). RNAcentral describes it as "uncharacterized LOC113673036, transcript variant X2". The record is from RNAcentral. Lineage: Eukaryota; Metazoa; Cnidaria; Anthozoa; Scleractinia; Pocilloporidae.